Molecule: ribosomal RNA, 439 nt
Filed under: uncultured bacterium
Lineage: Bacteria
Description: partial 16S ribosomal RNA
Rfam family: Bacterial small subunit ribosomal RNA
Source: RNAcentral
CCUACGGGUGGCAGCAGUGGGGGAUAUUGCACAAUGGGCGAAAGCCUGAUGCAGCGACGCCGCGUGAGGGAAGACGGUCUUCGGAUUGUAAACCUCUGUCUUUGGGGAAGAAAAUGACGGUACCCAAAGAGGAAGCUCCGGCUAACUACGUGCCAGCAGCCGCGGUAAUACGUAGGGAGCAAGCGUUGUCCGGAAUUACUGGGUGUAAAGGGAGCGUAGGCGGGGAUGCAAGUUGGGUGUCAAAACUACCGGCUCAACUGGUAGUCGCACUCAAAACUGCAGCUCUUGAGUGAAGUAGAGGCAGGCGGAAUUCCUAGUGUAGCGGUGAAAUGCGUAGAUAUUAGGAGGAACACCAGUGGCGAAGGCGGCCUGCUGGGCUUUUACUGACGCUGAGGCUCGAAAGUGUGGGGAGCAAACAGGAUUAGAUACCCCAGUAGUC